Molecule: non-coding RNA, 2151 nt
Organism: Durio zibethinus
Lineage: Eukaryota; Viridiplantae; Streptophyta; Magnoliopsida; Malvales; Malvaceae
Source: RefSeq, a predicted model, not a curated record
CUUGGAAUUUAAAGAAACAAAAAAAGUUCUAUUAUUUACGGAGUUUAUAAUACUAGAAAUGGCAAAUAAAUAAUAAAGUAAAUCUAAAAAUUCCUAAUCCAAUGUAUUAUGAGUUAUAGUGAUAAUUAAGCUAUAUUAUCAAAGGCUUAAAGCCAAAGAAAUUAAAACCAAAUAUAGCUAUGUGUAAAUUGGCAAUGGGUGCACCGUAUAUUUUGUCAAAGCCAAGGAAACAAAUCUUUUGAUAAAGGAAUUGCAUUGGAAUGAUGUCUAGGCUUGUAUGAGGGAUGGGUAACAAGUUCAAUUAUUAAGUCACACAUGAUAAAGCUCCAACUCAAUGCUUAUUACACAUUAAAUCUUGAAUUUUAGUGAGUCAAAGUACAUCAUUUGAAUAUAUAGUUAGAGGUAUUAUGAGGUCCUUUUUUUCACAGGUAUAGUUGGAAGUAUUAGGCUGUUUGAGUUUGAGGUAAAUUUUAAGUUAGACUUUUGGUUUUUGUAUUGUUGUUAUUUUUCAGUGUUUUUGUGUUUUUUUCAAUUGUGUGUGAUUUUGUUUAUUUGGAUUAUUUAUUUCUUGAAUUUUUUGUUUAUGUGUACCGGUUAAUUAAUAAUGUAGUAUGAAAUGAUGUUUUUUGGUUUUAGGUUUGUUUGUUUUUUAUUGUCUAUGUAUUGAUUUGGUUUUAGUGUUUAAUUGAUAGUUUUAUUUAUGGAUCCUAUUAGCAGAGGAUGUUUUAUGUAUAUAUUGAUUGAAAAUUGCAUUUGUUAAGUUGUCGUUUUUGGCGAUGGAUUCAGUUAAUAAACGAAAAAAAAUAGAAUUAGAAGAUUAGAAAAGUUAUGGCAUGCAAGAUUGAGUAAUUCACACAAUUGUUGCAGCACAAUUAGGAAGAAGAUGACGACAAAUAGACCUAAGACUCGGCUUCUAAAGGCGACCAAGUCUUCAAACUCAGUCGAGGAGGAUAUCGAGAUCGAAAUGCCAAAGGUUUUGUAUGGAUUGAUGAAGCAAUCAUGAAGCUCCAAGAAGGAAGAUAGCGCUGGAAAUCCUUUGCCGAAGCUUAAAUCUGAAGAUGUAAAUGGUUUUUCUACUUAUAGAAAGGCCCUUGUUUCACCUCAGAUUGCAAGCUCUACACAGAGCCAAUCCCAAACAACAGUUUUGCCUGAUCUAUUGGUUCGCGUUGGUGGGUAUUUUGAGCAUUCUUUCUUUUUGGUAAUAAGGUUUGCUCCUUUUUUUUUUUUUAAUAUUGGCAUUUGCAACAUGAAAAAAAAAAGGAAGUUGAGGAUUCUCCAACUCCAGUGAAAGUUGAGAAUGUGGAACGGGCAAAAAUGAAAAUCUGUUCACCAAAACAAGGUCAAAUAUCAGGACUUAAAAGUUCAUUUCUGAUUUUAAUCUUGAUAAGAAUGCUUUUAAAACGGCACCAGUGUUAUGGGAGUCACGGAAGAACGUGGUGAUGAUUAAGCAUGGAGAUUCAUAAUCAUCCAUUGAAGAAGAACCAAAUUCCGUAGAUGGAGCUGUGACCAGGGAAAAGUCUGUUUCGACUGAAAAAGGAUCCGUUAAAUUGGAUGUUGAUUUUCAGGAUUCCACAGUGACCAAAGCAAUAUCAAUGGUGUCAAAAGUGGAGAUCCAACGUGAAGAGAAGUUCAAAAUCGAUUUGAUGACAAGAAUCUCUUUCUGUCGAAAAUUCCAAAUUUUUGAAGAAAAAGAGUAAUAAGUAAUGCCCCCAUUCCUUCCUAACUGGCUUCUCCUCCUAUGGCAUCAUCUCGAGAAAGGGAUAGCCCUGUGGAUGUCAAACCAGAUCCUAUAUACAAGGUUCUAGAUACAGAGUCAAAGAUAGAGACUUUGGCCAAGGAUGAAGCAAAGGUUGUGAAGAAAGAAAUGAGAGCAGAAGAUGGUAAAGACAAGAAGAUGGAUACAAUUAGGGAGAAGCGAGAUUCAUUGAACCUGGAUUUGGAGAAGCUGUAUCAAGAUAGUGGUAGUGAUUAUUGUAAAUUUGAACAACAUGCUAAAAAACAACAGCUAUCUAAAAGUUGGCAUUCCUAAAGUGGAGAAAAUCGGUAAUUUUUUUAUUUUGUUUCAGCUUUGACUAAAUGUGCAACUCAAUAAUUUUUAUUUGUUUCUUUAUAACACUGCUUGAAUUAUGAUUUGAUUGAGUUUACUGAUUG